AGAGUUUGAUCCUGGCUCAGAUUGAACGCUGGCGGAAUGCUUUACACAUGCAAGUCGAGCGGCAGCGCAGGGCAACCUGGCGGCGAGCGGCGAACGGGUGAGUAAUGCAUCGGAACAUGUCCAUGUCGUGGGGGAUAGCCCGGCGAAAGCCGGAUUAAUACCGCAUAAGCCCGAGAGGGGAAAGCAGGGGACCGCAAGGCCUUGCGCGAUUGGGUUGGCCGAUGUCCGAUUAGUUUGUUGGUGAGGUAAAGGCUUACCAAGGCGAUGAUCGGUAGCUGGUCUGAGAGGAUGAUCAGCCACACUGGGACUGAGACACGGCCCAGACUCCUACGGGAGGCAGCAGUGGGGAAUUUUGGACAAUGGGGGCAACCCUGAUCCAGCCAUUCCGCGUGAGUGAAGAAGGCCUUCGGGUUGUAAAGCUCUUUUGUCCGGAGCGAAACGGUGGCGGUGAAUAUCCGCCACUACUGACGGUACCGGAAGA
This 481-nucleotide ribosomal RNA is filed under the name uncultured bacterium. RNAcentral's name for it is "bacterial SSU rRNA". It matches the Rfam family "Bacterial small subunit ribosomal RNA", at positions 8 to 485 of the family's 1533-position model. The record is from RNAcentral.